This is a non-coding RNA of Xiphophorus maculatus (southern platyfish), 114 nucleotides long. Lineage: Eukaryota; Metazoa; Chordata; Actinopteri; Cyprinodontiformes; Poeciliidae. The record is from Rfam.
GUGGGCUAUGGGGACAUGUACCCCGUGACCAUCGGAGGUAAAAUUGUUGGAUCUCUUUGCGCCAUCGCCGGUGUGUUGACCAUCGCACUACCAGUACCGGUCAUCGUGUCCAAU